This 874-nucleotide ribosomal RNA is filed under the name Microbacterium sp. RNAcentral describes it as "bacterial SSU rRNA". It matches the Rfam family "Bacterial small subunit ribosomal RNA", at positions 36 to 919 of the family's 1533-position model. Lineage: Bacteria; Bacillati; Actinomycetota; Actinomycetes; Micrococcales; Microbacteriaceae. The record is from RNAcentral.
GGGGGGGCCCGGAGCUUACCAUGCAGUCGACGAUGAAGCCCAGCUUGCUGGGUGGAUUAGUGGCGAACGGGUGAGUAACACGUGAGCAACCUGCCCCUGACUCUGGGAUAAGCGCUGGAAACGGCGUCUAAUACUGGAUAUGUCCCGUCACCGCAUGGUGUGCGGGUGGAAAGAUUUUUCGGUUGGGGAUGGGCUCGCGGCCUAUCAGCUUGUUGGUGAGGUAAUGGCUCACCAAGGCGUCGACGGGUAGCCGGCCUGAGAGGGUGACCGGCCACACUGGGACUGAGACACGGCCCAGACUCCUACGGGAGGCAGCAGUGGGGAAUAUUGCACAAUGGGCGAAAGCCUGAUGCAGCAACGCCGCGUGAGGGAUGACGGCCUUCGGGUUGUAAACCUCUUUUAGCAGGGAAGAAGCGAAAGUGACGGUACCUGCAGAAAAAGCACCGGCUAACUACGUGCCAGCAGCCGCGGUAAUACGUAGGGUGCAAGCGUUAUCCGGAAUUAUUGGGCGUAAAGAGCUCGUAGGCGGUCUGUCGCGUCUGCUGUGAAAUCCCGAGGCUCAACCUCGGGCUUGCAGUGGGUACGGGCAGACUAGAGUGCGGUAGGGGAGAUUGGAAUUCCUGGUGUAGCGGUGGAAUGCGCAGAUAUCAGGAGGAACACCGAUGGCGAAGGCAGAUCUCUGGGCCGUAACUGACGCUGAGGAGCGAAAGGGUGGGGAGCAAACAGGCUUAGAUACCCUGGUAGUCCACCCCGUAAACGUUGGGAACUAGUUGUGGGGUCCUUUUCCACGGAUUCCGUGACGCAGCUAACGCAUUAAGUUCCCCCGCCUGCGGAGUACGGCCGCAAGGCUAACACUCAAAGGAAUUGACGGGGG